Molecule: ribosomal RNA, 1524 nt
Filed under: Triticum aestivum (bread wheat)
Lineage: Eukaryota; Viridiplantae; Streptophyta; Magnoliopsida; Poales; Poaceae
Description: partial small subunit ribosomal RNA
Source: RNAcentral
AUGGGGUUGUCUUCGGCCGCUGAGAUCGACGGGGCGCAGCUGUGCAUCUUCGACCUGAGGAGAGGGCAGCAGGAGGGGCAGGAGCUCGACAAGAUCCUCUUCUUCCACCCGGCUGACUGCCCCAUCCUGCUCCAGCUCUCCGUCAUUGGCCUCUGCGAAGGAAUCAUCACUUUCACAAGAAUAUUUUCUCCAGAAGAUGACUGUGAGGUGAUAGAAUCUGAUAAACACUGCCACGUUUUUUACCAAGCUGAGCCAGAUAUUUGGAUGGUUCUGGUGGUGCAGAAAAUUAAGGACAAUGAAUCAACUUUGCGCUUUGGUGCAUUGCAAGGAAUACUAAAAGAAUCUCAUUCACUUUUCGCAAUGUUUCAUGGACCAAUUCGAACUUUACUUGACAGACAACCAAGUGCUGAAUUUGCCCGUGGUCACCUCCAUACAUUUGUCACAGAUUAUUUGAGCGAUUUUAGUGUUGGCAAAAAGCUACAAUUGCCAACCUACCGUGAUAGCCUAACGGAGCGGGGAACAGUCCAAAUGCUAACAGUCUCACGAGAAGUGGCACUUGAAGUUCAGUCACUCACCACAGUUCUUGGGUCAUGUCUUCGAAACGUAAUCUGCCAAUCAAUUGUAUUAUUUGAGGACCUCUUGGUGUCUACAACACUUCCCCUGGAUGAUACGUUAAACCUAUACACUUAUGCAAUCCUGCGGUUGACUCCUAGUGCUUUAUCUUCCAACGGGAAUUCAUGGUCCUAUUUGCGGAAAGGGGGUUAUGUUAAUGCUGACACCACUUUAAGUUCGGCAAAUGGAGCAGCUGCAGCAGAAAGGUACAAUAGUCGAUCUCGUGACACUUCUCCUGGUGGACAAAAUCAGAUGCACCAUAAUUUCAGGCCUCUUCAGCGUGAGAAAUUGUCCAAGGGAAAAGAUGGUUUUGUUGCUGCUGACUUUGCAACUACAGAAAUUCGUGGUGCUGUACCGUUGAAUCCAAUACUGUGGUUCCAUCAGGCAGAGGAGCGCAUGUAUUUAUGUGUUUAUCAGCAUAAGAACCUUACUAUCUUGCUAGUGAUUCCAGCUUCCUCACUGAUAAAUGGAGAAGAGGGUAUUGCUCAUGUGAAGAGGCAUCUUCUUGAAAAUGCCUCACAGAACAUUGUCACUGUUGAACAAAAAUUAUCACGAGGAUGGGGAGGAGAAAAUGCCUAUCAUGUCGGUGGAUACCGUUAUAUACUCUCUGAUCCAAACAGAAAAGUAUCAAGAGCCUCCCCACCUGGGAAAGUCAUCACCCUGUCAAAGGAUUCUCUACUUGCCCUCAACAGGCUAAGAGGAGAAAUAGAUCUAGAGAAGUCAAGAGCUAAGAGGAGUGACCCUACCCAUGACAAGGAUUAUGAAGUAUGCAUCAGAGCGAAAAAUAAUGCAUGGAUUAUUGCUAAAAUUUCUCGAGGAAAAGAACUCUAUAUGGCUAUAGAGAAGGGCGGCGAAACACUUCUCUAUGCAUCUACAGCUGUUGAGAAAUUUAGCAACAGGUAUCCGAACUGA